GAUGAACGCUAGCGGGAGGCUUAAUACAUGCAAGUCGAGGGAGAGGUUAGGUGCUUGCACUUAACCAAAACCGGCGAACGGGUGCGUAACACGUACACAAUCUACCUUUUACAAGAGGAUAGCCCCGAGAAAUUGGGAUUAAUACUCUAUAGUAUUAUUGUUUGGCAUCAGAUAAUAAUUAAAGCUCCGGCGGUAAAAGAUGAGUGUGCGGAUCAUUAGAUAGUUGGUAGGGUAAUGGCCUACCAAGUCAGCGAUGAUUAGCCGGCGUGAGAGCGCGAUCGGCCACACUGGAACUGAGACACGGUCCAGACUCCUACGGGAGGCAGCAGUAGGGAAUAUUGGACAAUGGAGGCAACUCUGAUCCAGCCAUCCCGCGUGCAGGAAGACGGUCCUCUGGAUUGUAAACUGCUUUUAUAGAGGAAGAAACCUUAGGAUUUAUCCUAAGCUGACGGUACUCUAAGAAUAAGCACCGGCUAACUCCGUGCCAGCAGCCGCGGUAAUACGGAGGGUGCAAGCGUUAUCCGGAUUCACUGGGUUUAAAGGGUGCGCAGGCGGACAAAUAAGUCAGUGGUGAAAUCCCGUAGCUUAACUACGGAACUGCCAUUGAAACUGUAUGUCUUGAAUAUGAUUGAGGUAGGCGGAAUUUAACAUGUAGCGGUGAAAUGCAUAGAUAUGUUAAGGAACACCAAUUGCGAAGGCAGCUUACUAAGUCAUUAUUGACGCUCAUGCACGAAAGCGUGGGGAGCGAACAGG
This 753-nucleotide ribosomal RNA is filed under the name uncultured bacterium. RNAcentral's name for it is "bacterial SSU rRNA". It matches the Rfam family "Bacterial small subunit ribosomal RNA", at positions 28 to 776 of the family's 1533-position model. The record is from RNAcentral.